RNAcentral lists this signal recognition particle RNA (100 nucleotides) under Hydrogenivirga caldilitoris. RNAcentral's name for it is "Bacterial small signal recognition particle RNA". It matches the Rfam family "Bacterial small signal recognition particle RNA". Rfam says of the family: The signal recognition particle (SRP) is a universally conserved ribonucleoprotein involved in the co-translational targeting of proteins to membranes. The record is from RNAcentral. Lineage: Bacteria; Pseudomonadati; Aquificota; Aquificia; Aquificales; Aquificaceae.
UAUAAACAGCCCCGCAACGGGACAGGGUGAACUCCCCCAGGCCCGAAAGGGAGCAAGGGUAAGCCUGCCGUCCCGGGUGCGGGGUAAAAUAUUGCUAUGU